Long non-coding RNA from Ornithorhynchus anatinus (platypus), 389 nucleotides. RefSeq lists it as uncharacterized. The record is from RefSeq and is a predicted model, not a curated record. The transcript is spliced from 3 exons. Lineage: Eukaryota; Metazoa; Chordata; Mammalia; Monotremata; Ornithorhynchidae.
CCGCAGGAGGAGGAGGAGGGAUUGUCCACCCCCGGCCCGGACCCUGGGAUGAGGCUGCAGCGGGCCGAAGCCGCGGUCAGAACAGUCCCGGGCAGAUGUCCCAGGGGAGCGGCCCGCUUCCCCGCCCCCUCGACGACCCUCAUGGAGACCCCCAGCCGGAGCCGCCCCCUGCCCCAGCUCAGGAGGCGGUCACAAGCUCUCCCAGCCUGCCCCAGCCAGAGGUAGCAGUGUCUUCACAGGAUCACACCCACCAUCCGAUCCACCCCAGCAGGACCAGAGAGGAGGAGGAGGAGGAGGAGACGGCAGCACCCUCCAUGCCCCAAGUCAGUGGACCAGCAUCUCUGCAGGCCUUGAGCAGCACUGACCUCAUCGGUCUCCCUCAAGCUGUG